GACGAAUGGGGCUAGCGUUGUUCGGAAUUACUGGGCGUAAAGCGCGUGUAGGCGGUUGCCCAAGUCGGGUGUGAAAGCCUUGAGCUCAACUCAAGAAAUGCACUCGGUACUGGGUGACUAGAGGACCGGAGAGGAUAGUGGAAUUCCCAGUGUAGUGGUGAAAUACGUAGAGAUUGGGAAGAACACCAGUGGCGAAGGCGGCUAUCUGGACGGUUUCUGACGCUAAGACGCGAAAGCGUGGGGAGCAAACAGG
Molecule: ribosomal RNA, 253 nt
Filed under: uncultured bacterium
Lineage: Bacteria
Description: partial 16S ribosomal RNA
Rfam family: Bacterial small subunit ribosomal RNA
Source: RNAcentral